GCCCCGGCCGUCCUCCAAGUCAGGCCCCGGCCGUGCCCCCGGUCAGGUCCCGGUUGUGUUCCAUGUCAGGCCCCGGUCAUGCCCCUGGUCAGAUCCCGGUAGUCCUCCAUGUCAAGCCCCGGUCAUCCCCUGAUCAGGCCCUGGUCAUCCUCCAUGGCAGGCUCUGGCUGUGCCCCGGGUCAGGUCCCGGUCAGGCCUCCAUGUCAGGUCCCGGUCGUGCCCCUGAUCAGGUCCCAGUCGUUCUCCGUGUCAGGCCCCAGGUCAGAUCCCUGUCGUCUUCCACGUCGGGCCCCAGGUCAGGCCCCGGUCGUCCUCCACGUCGGGCCCCAGCUCAGGCCCCGGUCGUCCUCCACGUCGGGCCCCAGCUCAGGCCCCGGUCGUCCUCCACGUCGGGCCCCAGCUCAGGCCCCGGUCGUCCUCCACGUCGGGCCCCAGCUCAGGCCCCGGUCGUCCUCCACGUGGGGCCCCAGGUCAGGCCUUGGUCUUCCUCCAGGUCAGGCCCCGGGGGCGGCCCCGGUCGUCCUCCGGGUGAGGCCCCGGCCCUGGCGGGGUGAGGGGGCGUCGCCGGCCCGGGGGCUCAGACGGGGAGGCCUUGGGGGAGGCCCCGGCCGAGCGUGGCGCCCAGGGCGUAGCGCAGGGCCGCCGCGCCGCCCCAGGGCAGCCGUCCGAGCAGCGCGGCCACGAGCACGGCCGUCUGCGCCGCCGCCCCCAGCGCGGCCAGCAGGGCGCCGCGCCUCAGCAGCGCGCCGUACAGCGUGGCCGCCAGCGCCGCCAGGUAGAGCCCGGCGGCCCGCCACGGCAGCUCCUCGGCCCGCCGCGCCCGCCGCCACACCCACAGCCACGCCGCCGCCGCCGCCAGCCCCGACCCCAGCGACCACAGCAGCGCCAACCUGCGGGCCCACGGCCCCGCCAGCGCCACGCACGCCGCCCACAGCCCCACGCCCAGCCCGCCCCACGCCCAGCGCCGCCAGCCCCCCGGGCACCGCCCCCCGCCCCCCGACGAAGCCGCCUCCGCCCUGCGGCCGAACGGGCUCAGCCGGGCCAGCCAGCCCCGCGCCCCCUGCGCCCCCUGCGCCCCCUCCGCCCCCUCCGCCGCCUCCGCCGCCGGCCCGGCGCCCUUGGAGCGCGCCAGGUAGUCCUGCAGCUGCCGGUGGAGGUCCGCCAUCUUGGGGCCGGGGGAGGGGGGGGGAGGAGGGAGAAGGAGCCACGCUCCAUCCGGGGACUUCCGGGAACAUCCGGGAACCUCCGGGGACACGUGACCCUGCCUCCUCCUCCCCCCCCCCAGGGGUGUGA
This 1293-nucleotide long non-coding RNA is filed under the name Ornithorhynchus anatinus (platypus). Its description in RNAcentral is "lncRNA (ENSOANG00000041081.1)". Lineage: Eukaryota; Metazoa; Chordata; Mammalia; Monotremata; Ornithorhynchidae. The record is from RNAcentral.